AGAGUUUGAUCCUGGCUCAGGAUGAACGCUGGCGGCGUGCCUAAUACAUGCAAGUCGAGCGAACGGACGAGAAGCUUGCUUCUCUGAUGUUAGCGGCGGACGGGUGAGUAACACGUGGAUAACCUACCUAUAAGACUGGGAUAACUUCGGGAAACCGGAGCUAAUACCGGAUAAUAUUUUGAACCGCAUGGUUCAAAAGUAAAAGACGGUCUUGCUGUCACUUAUAGAUGGAUCCGCGCUGCAUUAGCUAGUUGGUAAGGUAACGGCUUACCAAGGCAACGAUGCAUAGCCGACCUGAGAGGGUGAUCGGCCACACUGGAACUGAGACACGGUCCAGACUCCUACGGGAGGCAGCAGUAGGGAAUCUUCCGCAAUGGGCGAAAGCCUGACGGAGCAACGCCGCGUGAGUGAUGAAGGUCUUCGGAUCGUAAAACUCUGUUAUUAGGGAAGAACAUAUGUGUAAGUAACUGUGCACAUCUUGACGGUACCUAAUCAGAAAGCCACGGCUAACUACGUGCCAGCAGCCGCGGUAAUACGUAGGUGGCAAGCGUUAUCCGGAAUUAUUGGGCGUAAAGCGCGCGUAGGCGGUUUUUUAAGUCUGAUGUGAAAGCCCACGGCUCAACCGUGGAGGGUCAUUGGAAACUGGAAAACUUGAGUGCAGAAGAGGAAAGUGGAAUUCCAUGUGUAGCGGUGAAAUGCGCAGAGAUAUGGAGGAACACCAGUGGCGAAGGCGACUUUCUGGUCUGUAACUGACGCUGAUGUGCGAAAGCGUGGGGAUCAAACAGGAUUAGAUACCCUGGUAGUCCACGCCGUAAACGAUGAGUG
Molecule: ribosomal RNA, 825 nt
Rfam family: Bacterial small subunit ribosomal RNA